RNAcentral lists this transfer RNA (109 nucleotides) under Lachancea lanzarotensis. It matches the Rfam family "tRNA". From Rfam's summary of the family: Transfer RNA (tRNA) molecules are approximately 80 nucleotides in length. Their secondary structure includes four short double-helical elements and three loops (D, anti-codon, and T loops). The record is from Rfam by way of RNAcentral. Lineage: Eukaryota; Fungi; Ascomycota; Saccharomycetes; Saccharomycetales; Saccharomycetaceae.
GGGCGUGUGGUCUAGUGGUAUGAUUCUCGCUUUGGGCGACAGUUGGAUAAACCAACUAACAGUACUACAAUUAUGCGAGAGGCCCUGGGUUCAAUUCCCAGCUCGCCCC